This 5259-nucleotide long non-coding RNA is filed under the name Sus scrofa (pig). Its description in RNAcentral is "lncRNA (ENSSSCG00000052322.1)". Lineage: Eukaryota; Metazoa; Chordata; Mammalia; Artiodactyla; Suidae. The record is from RNAcentral.
UUCUGUUCCUUUGAUUUAAUCUGGUAAUCACAGGAGUGUAUGUAUUUAAUUUUUUUUUUUUAAAUGAGCAGCUGCUGACCUGUAAGAACAGCAGCAACUCAAGAGGAAGAUAGAAUUUUUAACAUAAUUAUGUAAGUAGAAAUCCCAAUAAAAUCACUUAAAUCAAGUGGUAAUAAUAGUAAUAACAAAAAAGACUUGCUCUCUCUUCUUCAACACACCAGGUAAUGAAAUGUGGGCUCCUUGAUUUAGAGAGGCAUAUUUGUGUGAUAAAAAUCUUGUGGAAACAAGAACUGACGUGAGUGGCAAAUCCUGAUAAUAGUCUGAAACCUGUAUAAAGCUCUAUCAUAAAAGAGUUCAACACUUUUCAAGCAUUAAAUAUAUUUUCAGGAUUUCCUGUUAUGGCUCAGCAGAAAUGAAUCUGGCUAGUAUCCAUGAGGAUGCAGGUUCAAUCCCUGGCCUUGCUCAUUGGGUAAAGGAUCUGGCAUUGCAGUGAGCUGUGGUGUAGGUCACAGAUAUGGUUCAGAUCUGGCGUCACUGUGACUGUGGCGCAGGCCUUUGGCUACAGCUCCAAUUUCACCCCUGGCCUGGGAACCUCCAUAUGCCUUGGGUGUGUCCCUAAAAAGAAAAAAGAAAAAAAAUUUCAGUAAAAUCAGCUUUAUUUUUCCUCCCCCUUUAUUAAAUUUUAAAAUUUCGUUUGAAAGGAGCAUCUCUUAUUUACCUCAACUUACCUGAAACAUUUCUUAGGAGGGAUGUUUAUUUGACAUCCCUCUUAUUUGAACUGUCCUCUUCAUUUAAGCUUGCUUGUGUCAGAUACAAUGAAACAUUACCAGAAGAGUCAUCUGUAUUCUGUGAAGCUGGCUUGAUUAACCAUUGAGUCAUUUAUUUCAGGCUCCUGUGUCUGAGGGCAGCGGUGUCUCUUCUGGCUCUGUGUGCCUUAGCAGUUACUGUAUGAGGAAGAGCACCACUCUGGGAUUCAGAACUGUUUCCUGGGAGCAAACCAAGUGGAGUAGAAUGACAUAUAUUUAUGUUUCCUAAUUGGUUACACUUUUUUUUAGUAGGACUUAAGAUUUUCCCAGGAAGGUGUUGGUAUUGGCCAUAUCCAAACCAUAUCCACAGUCAGGUCAAAGUUCAUGUCAUGAGAAGAUAACCUAGGGGAAAUUAUUAAGGGAAAAAUUUGGACAUGCCGCAUCUUGGAGAGCAUGUUCAGCUUGUCAUUUGUGACUUUGGACUUUCUGAGAGCCAAAAUCUAAAUCAGUUUUAAAUAGUUGGUCUCUCUUAAAAUGGGGUUUGAAGAAGAUGUUUUACUGUGUUUCUGGCCGGGGACUAGCUUGAAAAGAAUUUCAUUUGCUAACCCUGCAAGACUAGUUAUUGGCAUGAAUGGCCUCUGGAUAGACGGAGCCAACAUCCUGAUCAGAUGUCAGAGCUUCAGUUUCUGAAAUGCUGAACCUUUCUUUGUUCCUAGAAGAUGAGAAUGUUAAUUUUUCAGAAGUUAUUCAAUAUUAGGUCUCCAACCAUGAAAUGAACAACGAAUGAGUGAUCAUACUUAAAAUAGCCAGAUCCCACAUCAUUAUUUACAUUUUUAUGUCUAUUAAUUUUUUAUGCCUUCAGAUAAUUGGAAAUAGAUAAAAAUGGUGGGAUUUUUAAAGUUAAAAGGGCUUAAAAUCCUAAAAUUAGAUUUGUUUAUUUCUAUACCAGUACUACACAUUCAUUGGACAGAUGCUAAAAAUUUCUAUCACUAUGUCAGAUGAUCAUAUUAGAAUCAUAGCCCUGUAGAAUUAAUGCUAAUGAAACCUAAAACUCAUGGGAGAAUACAAGGAGGGAGAGUCAUCAGUAAGUUAAUUGUUUUUUUGUAAACUUCUAAAAAUGUCUUUAAAAUGCAAGACCUCACUGUGGCUCAUCAGUUCAAAGAUAAUCUUUGUUUUAAGUAAUAGCAUAUAAUUCUACUUGUUUUGUACUCUUUAGUGGAGCAUUUGUUAGUUUAUCAUGCAACCCAAGAGAAUAUUUGUGUCUGGGGGACUGAUAGAGAUGCUAGUGCCAAUAUGCUUAUACUUUAUUCAGAACCACAUCAGUGCAGCAAACUCAGAGUAAUCAGAAAGUUUGAUCAUGCAUAGUAAGAAUUCAUAGCAUUUUAGUCACCACACCAAAAACAGAUAUGUGAUGCAUACUGAUGAAGUGAUUUGUGAUAGAUCUUUUUUCAACAUUUGUAUACCAGAGCAAGGGAACCUGAAAGCCAGAUCACUAAAUGACACUGGGUUUUGUUUUCUCUGUUCGGUGUACAUGUUCAUUUGGAGGAGAAAGAGUUUUGCCACUGACUAGCUGCUUAAUAGCUUUGUGAACUUGGAUGACUUGCAGAAUCAUGGAAUCUUCUGGAUAAAUAAAGGGAUUAUAAUAUUUAUCUUGCUAGUCUACUAAUAAAAUCCUUGAAUCUCCUCUUCAGCAUGGAGACAAAGUAGCUGUUGAGCUUCUGUUUGACUCCUUCCAGUCAUGGGAGGUCAGUACCACCCAGGGAAACUUGGCCAUUUUCAGGCAACUCUUAAGUAAUAGUAAAUUCUCCAAACACUGUGUUCUUUUGUGUUCAGUUACACAAAUGUAAAUGGAUAUAAUGACUACUGCCUUUCUUACCCCACAUACUUGUAAGGAUAAAAUGAGAUGAUACUUCUAGAAAAUGUAGUGGAGUGAGCUCUAUCUGAAGGUAUCAUUCUUAUUACUCUAAGUGUGCUACACUGAGCAAUUAUGCAUACCUACUUGUUCUCCCUCCUGGGGAAAGAUUAUACUUCCUUGUCCUGAUGACAUUAGGCUUGUCCAUGUGACUUCUCUGACUAAAGAAAUAUGAUUAGACAUCUAUGCAAAAAGUUUAAGAGCCAGCCCAUGGCCUUAAGACCUUUUCCCUCUGCUGUACCCGUUAAUAUUCACAAAGAAGGCUGCUCUAAAGCCUGGAUCCUAGAGUGAAAAUGCCAUAGGGCAGGGUCACAGCCUAUAUGCUGCUCUAUGAGUUAGAAAUAAAUCUUGGUUAUUGUGAGCCACGGAGAUAUUGGAGUCAUUUGUCAUUUCAGUCUGUGCUAGGUGUUAUGAUUGGUGUAUUCUUUUUACCCCUUCUGAAUUACAAGUUAUAUUGUAAUUGUGAACUUGCCACACUUGUGGAGCUCUACUGACAUCACAGAGCUUUCUUGUAGUAGCCACUUUUAGAAAACAGGGAUGUGCUCUAAAACUGACCAGGUAAGAAUUUGAAUGCAUUAUGGAGUAAAGUAGGCUGUUAUUGGGUACUGAAAGACUUGUGACUUGAUACUUUUUCCAUGAAGAUUCUAAGUUAUGCAUUUAUGUCUUUGUAAAUCGGGAACUAGGAGUAUUUUUAUCUUAACUCAGGAUUUCUCAAAGAUUUUAUUUCAUUAUUUCCACUCUAGCCUUUUUAGAAAUUUUUUCCUAGUUACCCCCAUGAUAUUUUAGUGCCACAGAUACAUUGUAUGUUUAUGUUCUCUAGUGAAACAUUGUUUUCAUUUAUCAUACAUGCAAAUUGUAUGUAUAUUUGUGCUUUAUAAUGAAAAAGAUUUUUUUUUUUUCUUUGUUUGCCAUCACUGAGACUGGAAGCUCUACCUAAAUAAUGGUAGAGCCAUAUUGGGAAAGGCCAGUUUCUGAGGGACAUCUCACAAGGUCAAAUCCCAAGUAGAGCAGAGUGAGCAGAGGUUUUUUUUUUUAUGCUUUAUUAUAAAGCAUUUUUGAGAGGUAAUAUGCAACAUAUUUUGUAAAAAAGGGAAAAAAGUUGUAAAUUAUCAGUUUUGCAGUGUCAAAGUUGAGUGGGUGGGAGCAGCAUUGACUGUGGUACAAUAGAGGAGAAUACAGAAUGACAAAAUCUAUUUAUACAGCAAAUCUUUACUGUAUUACCUUACCUUUGCAUUAUUUCAUUUACUUCUCUGGAAAAUUGCUUUAACACUAUUAUAAAAUUAAUUUUAUAGAGGAAGAAACUUUGACUUAAAGUUAUGAAUGUGCCAAGGCUAUGAAGUGGGGAGGGGCUGAGUCAGGAUAUGCAGACAUGUCUAACACUUUAACUCCUUCCCCUUUGCUAGAAGGUGACGCUACUCCCUAGAGUCAAAAAGAGGUUUAUCUGGGAAUGAGCUCACUGCUGAUAAGGCAAGGAAGUCAUAGAAGGACUAGUGUUGUUAUUUUAAGUUUCAUCUUCUUAGAGGAUUCUACUUCACUGUCUUCUGAGUAAUUCAAUAAUAACUGUAUAUCUGGUAUAUUGUCAAAGAUAAAUGUACCUUGUUUGAAGACUGAGUCCUAUUAGAAAUCAUAUGAGAUAUAUAUCCAUUAUGUACUUUAUAUUUGUUUUGUAGUGUGCAUGAUUUCUAUGGUUAAAAUCAAUCCCAUAAAUUCUCCCCAUCCUACUUUAUCAGGGACAAAGAAAUAUUGGGUCCAGUCCUUCUCUGUGUCACCACACUUGUUUUAGCUGCAUUAUGUGAUUUUCCCCAUUCCAGGCUGGCCCUCAUACUUAGGUUAUCCCCGUGUCCUCAGUAUGACAGUCUUAGGGCCCAUUAUAAUUGUGGACUACUCUGUUAAUUUUUAUAUUUCUAAUCAAUUCUUGCCAUAUAGAAGGGAUUCAAUGAAUAUUUGUUAAAUGAACAGAUGAAUGAUUAACCUGUAGACAACCACUGAAAUUCCAGGGCUAUUGCUAAAAUGGAAGUUACUGCCUUCUUAUAAAUACAAGCAGUAAUGUCAGCAGCAUUGGUGAGUAGCCAAUUUAUCUUCUUUGAUCAGUUCAAUGGGUCAUAAACUUUAGAUGUUAAUAUAUUUUUAGGUUUCUGCUGUAAGUUGGUAGACCGAACACAUGCAUUUGAAACCCCAGUGGAAUGAUAGUAAGGAAUUACAAAACAUGGUAAAACCUUUACCAGUAAAAGGAUCAAUAGUGGAAUGAGAUGUCAACAGAACUUACGAAAGAGAAAAGGCUUAUGAAGGCACAUUAGUGGCUAAAACAGAGCCGAAAAUAGGCACAGCGAUGUUACAUGAGAACUGAUUUUUCCAGAGAGCCAGUGGUGUGGUGGAGCCAGGUCUCACUGACCUGGAUUGUGAUCAUCUCCUCCCAACGGUGACUUCAGAGAUAGCAUGUUGUUAGCUUGAAAUUGGCUAUACUGGGAGUACAGAUUGGGACUUUCCCCCUGCCUCCUCAUUAGCUGACUGAUAAAUAUCUGUCAACACAGCAUUUUAAGGAACCCCAUAGAAAAUCCAAGCUUUGGAUAAUCUGGUCCAAAUGGUAGGAAUGAGGGUGGG